CAGCAGCCACGGUAAAACAGAGGGUGCAAGCGUUAAUCGGAAUUACUGGGCGUAAAGCGCGCGUAGGUGGUUCGCCAAGUUGGAUGUGAAAUCCCCGGGCUCAACCUGGGAACUGCAUCCAAAACUGGCGAGCUAGAGUAUGGUAGAGGGUGGUGGAAUUUCCUGUGUAGCGGUGAAAUGCGUAGAUAUAGGAAGGAACAUCAGUGGCGAAGGCGACCACCUGGACUGAUACUGACACUGAGGUGCGAAAGCGUGGGGAGCAAACAGGAUUAGAUACCCCAGUAGUCCCUGUCUCUUAUAC
This 301-nucleotide ribosomal RNA is filed under the name uncultured bacterium. Its description in RNAcentral is "partial 16S ribosomal RNA". It matches the Rfam family "Bacterial small subunit ribosomal RNA", at positions 509 to 807 of the family's 1533-position model. The record is from RNAcentral.